Molecule: long non-coding RNA, 797 nt
Organism: Meriones unguiculatus (Mongolian gerbil)
Lineage: Eukaryota; Metazoa; Chordata; Mammalia; Rodentia; Muridae
Exons: 4
Source: RefSeq, a predicted model, not a curated record
UAUUGGUGCAACAGAGUGUGACCAAGUCAUCAUCCCAGGACCUGACUCCUGUGGUCAAGUCUGUUGACAGCCCCCUACCAAGAGGAUCUCCACUGAAAGAGGAGAAUUCCCAAUAGUCUCCGAGUUUCUUUCAUCUAUUUCUCAAGAAGGCUUGUUGGUCUGUGUGGACAAUAGGGACCAAUGUCCUAGGACCUCUGACCUUUGCGGUUAAGUCCAUUACUGGACCUCACCGAGAAGAUCUCCCCUGCAGUAGAUUUCUCCAAAGCCUCUGUGUUCCCAGCACCUAUAUCUUGAGGAGGCUCAUGGGUGUGCACAGCCAGUAGAAACUAGGCCAUCAGGUCCUAGGACCUCUGACCUCCUCCCAUUGGAGAGGACCGCCCCCUCCUCCCGUUGGAGCUUCCCUGCAGGAGGACACUUCUACAAGGCCUCCAAGUUACCCCCCUAUUUCCUGAGGUGAGUGUGCGUGAGGACACACACGCGAAGACAAACGCAAGCACACAUAAUGACAUGAGGCCGAGUAAGUGAGGAUUCUGAGGGAGAGCCCUCAGUGGUCCCUCACGGCUUCAUGAAAACAUGUGGAAUGGCCAGGGGCUCACUGUGUCACCAAGGAAGACUUGAAACUGCUGUGUCCACUGUCACCACCUUUGGGAGUACCAAGAUCACAGGUCUGAGCUCCCGCGCCUCGGUGCGAGGAGGGAACUGGUGGCUUCCUUCCUGCAUGCUAGGCUAGCACUCUGCCAGCUGAAAUUACUCCCAGUAACACUACGCCUUCUUAUAUUAAAAUGAUUUGAAUCACA